This 565-nucleotide ribosomal RNA is filed under the name uncultured bacterium. RNAcentral's name for it is "bacterial SSU rRNA". It matches the Rfam family "Bacterial small subunit ribosomal RNA", at positions 350 to 916 of the family's 1533-position model. The record is from RNAcentral.
AGCAGUGAGGAAUAUUGCGCAAUGCCCGAAAGGUGACGCAGCGACGCCGCGUGGAGGAUGAAGGCCCUAUGGGUCGUAAACUCCUUUUGAGGGGGAAGAAUAGCCCCGCAUAGCGGGKUUUGACGGUACCCCUAGAAAAAGCACCGGCCAACUACGUGCCAGCAGCCGCGGUAAUACGUAGGGUGCAAGCGUUGUCCGGAAUCACUGGGUGUAAAGGGAGCGCAGGCGGGGUUGGCAAGUCGUUGGUGAAAUCCUGAGGCUCAACCUCAGGACUGCCAAUGAUACUGCCGAUCUUGAGUGCAGAAGAGGAAGACGGAAUUCCUGGUGUAGCGGUGAAAUGCGUAGAUAUCAGGAAGAACACCGGUGGCGAAGGCGGUUUUCUGGUCUGUAACUGACGCUCAUGCUCGAAAGCGUGGGGAGCAAACAGGAUUAGAUACCCUGGUAGUCCACGCCCUAAACGAUGGAUACUCGAUGUCGGGUCGUAAGGCCCGGUGUCCAAGCUAACGCGUUAAGUAUCCCACCUGGGGAGUACGAUCGCAAGGUUGAAACUCAAAGGAAUUGACGG